Molecule: long non-coding RNA, 710 nt
Filed under: Rattus norvegicus (Norway rat)
Lineage: Eukaryota; Metazoa; Chordata; Mammalia; Rodentia; Muridae
Description: long non-coding RNA NONRATT023438
Source: RNAcentral
UCAGUGAUGGCUGGGGUGGCCCGAGGGCCUGAGCACACAAGUAGGGGCAGGACGGUCCGAAGAUGGCAGAGAGCACUUUGGAGCAGACCUGGCUUUGGCACAGCACAUCCUGGGCCUGCCUGCCAAUCAGAUGACCCUCAAUCCCCGAGACCCAGGGGAAGGCCCUCUUGGGGCUGAUGCAGGUUAUGCAGGUGAAACUCCAAGGAAUCCCCUUCAUGGUGCCAGCCAAACCCGUGCACAGGUGACCGGUGGGGAACCUGUCUGGACUCAGCUGUUGAAUCCAAAGCAUGAGCCGGGUGUGAGGUUACAUGGAAGCAGCGGUGUUGGCUACCACUUACGAAGCCCCUCCCACACGAUGGGCCCUUUGUGUGAAUGACGUCCAGCAGGGAGGAAGGUGAAGAAGACAGCCAAUGAGAAGGAUGGUGCCUUGAGAAAGCCUGCAUUCUGAGAUUGUGUGUGUGUUCCUUACCAGAAAGGUCUCAGCUUCCAUAACUUCUUUAACUCCUCCUAGCUGGGUGUUCCACCCACUUCCCCACACGACAGGGACACCCAGAAUUGGGUCCUUUCUCAGAAACUACCCGUGGGAGAAGGAAGUUGCUUCAUUGAUGAGGAAGGGAGAAAGGCCUGGUCUGGGGCAGAGGUGUGGGCAAAGUCCAUGGAUCUCAAGGGGCACACUAUUCUGAAGUCAACCCUUCUUGGAGCUCCUGCGG